AAGCUGAAUGCAAGCCUGGAGACCAUGCCAGUAUGCUCUGUCCCUCUAAGGCCUCAGCUCCAGGUUCCUGCCCUGACGACCCUCCACAGUAGACUGUAAUGUAGAAAUGUGACAUCCACCUGCCAGUGUUUUAUCACAGCGGUAGAUGGCUAAUUAAGGCAGGGGAACAUUAGCCAACCCCUCAGGGAGUGCCCUGCGCUGUGGGGUGUGGCAGAGGUGGUACCUCUUCCUGCAUCUCCUCCACUGCGGGCCUCAGGAAAGCGCGAUUAAUGAGGCCUCAGGAAAGUGCGAUUAAAGGUAGAGGAGGCACCUGAGAGGGGACACGCUUCUGUUGGGCCUGCCUGGGCCGAGCAUGGUUUCCCUACCUGGUUGCCGCCGAGGUUGUGGCAGACAUACAUGAUGAGAGGCUUUCCUCCACGGUUGUUCUCGCCCACAUCCAAACACUGAUUGGUGCCGAGAUUCUUGAUCUGCACAAAGCAAUUCGAGCCAGGAGGGGCUCCAGCCAGCCGUGGAAACACUCACCUGCAGACCCAGGCAAGAAGGUGAAGGGCCAGCUAAUCUGAGUCACCAAGCCUCUACACAAGGACAGGAUAGCCCCAGCUCCUCCUGGCACCCGGGUGGGCGUGUCCUACUCACAGUGGGCGUCCAGGAACGUGAGCACCUCGGCCUGCGCCACGCUGGCCCCCAGCAGCCGGGCUGUGAUGAGCCCCUUCCGCUCCCGCUGCCGAACCACGCGCACGAUCUGGAGCUGCUGAACGUAGCGCUCCAGCCUCUCCUUCAGGUGCUCUGGAAGGGAAGCGGCCACUGUGACCAGCUCCUCACUAAUCCCCUGUGGGUAUUACCCCCAAGUACUCGCAAAAACUGCCCGCAGAAGGUGAGGGCAAAGAUGGGAAGACAGGCAGGUAGGAAACCCUGUCUGUGGCCAGGCCCCCUUGAGAACAGGCUUGCCAGCACUGUCCUAUGUCUGUGGCCAUCUUCUCCCUCCCCCACUCCUUGAAGUGUUGGGAAUUAAACCCAGGGCCUUGUGGGUGCCAGGUAAGUGCUCCACCACUAAGCGACACUGCCCCGCACAAGCCCAGUCUUUGACUUUAUGCCCUGCGUAUGGGACUCUUCAGGGGGAGUAAAACAAGCCAAGCAGAUUUGAAAUGCUAAAAGCGGCUGUGGGUAACAAAGUUCAGUGGUAGGCGCCUGCCUAGCGUGGGGGCUUCUGGCUACCGUGGAUAGUGAUGCAUCCCUAAGGAUCCUGGGAUUCCAUCUGAAAUCCUCAGGACACAGAACGUAGUAGUUUUACUUCCAAGGACUCCAUCUUGGAGCAUCCUCCAUCUUUAUGUCUUAACUGUUAAGUUUGACUGUCCUGGAAACUGCUCUGUAGACCGGGCUAGCCUCAAACUCACAGAGAUUCCCCCUGCCUCUGCCUCCCCAGUGCUGCAAUUAAAAACACAUUUUAUCACUUC
RNAcentral lists this long non-coding RNA (1454 nucleotides) under Mus pahari (shrew mouse). RNAcentral describes it as "polypeptide N-acetylgalactosaminyltransferase 6, opposite strand (MGP_PahariEiJ_G0002778.1)". The record is from RNAcentral. Lineage: Eukaryota; Metazoa; Chordata; Mammalia; Rodentia; Muridae.